AUUGAACGCUGGCGGCAUGCUUUACACAUGCAAGUCGGACGGCAGCACAGGGAAGCUUGCUUCUUGGGUGGCGAGUGGCGAACGGGUGAGUAACAUAUCGGAACGUACCGAGCAGUGGGGGAUAACUAAUCGAAAGAUUAGCUAAUACCGCAUAUCUUCUGAGGAAGAAAGCAGGGGACCAUUUGGCCUUGCGCUGUUUGAGCGGCCGAUAUCUGAUUAGCUGGUUGGUGGGGUAAAGGCCUACCAAGGCGACGAUCAGUAGCGGGUCUGAGAGGAUGAUCCGCCACACUGGGACUGAGACACGGCCCAGACUCCUACGGGAGGCAGCAGUGGGGAAUUUUGGACAAUGGGCGCAAGCCUGAUCCAGCCAUGCCGCGUGUCUGAAGAAGGCCUUCGGGUUGUAAAGGACUUUUGUCAGGGAAGAAAAGGGCGGGGUUAAUACCCCUGUCUGAAGACGG
RNAcentral lists this ribosomal RNA (458 nucleotides) under Neisseria sicca. Its description in RNAcentral is "bacterial SSU rRNA". It matches the Rfam family "Bacterial small subunit ribosomal RNA", at positions 30 to 485 of the family's 1533-position model. Lineage: Bacteria; Pseudomonadati; Pseudomonadota; Betaproteobacteria; Neisseriales; Neisseriaceae. The record is from RNAcentral.